GGCCUAUUAUAUCAACGCUUUCCAACUAAAUCUGUUAUAAUCCGAUAACUUUCACUUCCUUGACAGGGAAGGGGUCGUGGGUUCGAAUCCCUCACAGGUCA
RNAcentral lists this transfer RNA (101 nucleotides) under Peribacillus frigoritolerans. Its description in RNAcentral is "tRNA-Ser". Lineage: Bacteria; Bacillati; Bacillota; Bacilli; Caryophanales; Bacillaceae. The record is from RNAcentral.